GCCCGGUCUGGGUUCUUGGGCGCUUAUUGUUUUAAUGAAAUUUUUGGUUGUUGUUGUUUUUGGUCCUGGAAAUGUGAUUUUAGCAGCGGGUAACGUGUCCUCACUCCUCCCGGGCUCCCUCGGAGGGUUUUCAGAGAGGUCUCAGUGCAUCCAUUUUCUCAGAUCCUCUCCUUCUUUCAGGGGAAGGAUCUGGGGCCCUGCGGGCGCCUCGGCGCGCGAAGGCGGCGGCUCGGGUUCUCGGCGGGGUCCGCGCAGUGGCCGAGGGAGCUCCUGGGUGGCGGCGGCGGCGGCGGUUCUCCUGGGCUGGACGCCGUGAGGGGAGGAAGCGGAUUUUCCCAGCAAGAUCUCCAUGGACACCGGCCCCAGCGACGACCUUGGACGAUUUCAACGCGCAGGCACCUCGAUCCCCCGAAUUCGUGGUGUGGCCGGUAUCACUGUUCCCCUGGUUUAACUAGCCUGUUUGAAGGUGCAGAUCGUUCUCGGGGAAGUCCAACCGAAACCAGCCCUCCCCUGCCCUCUGGAGUCUUCGUUUUCCAGCCUACAUCUGCUUGAGACUCCAGAAAGAGACUUCAGAUUGGCCAAGCUUCCUCCCUUCCCUUCCAGCCUCCUCAAGACCUAGCCCGACGGCGACGGGCCAGGUGGCGUCGGAGGUCACCGCUUGCCUGCAUGCCCCGAGCCAAGAGCAACCGCGGUUCCGCGGGGAUCGCAAGGGCCUCAGGCCUCGCAGGACCGUGGGCGCUGGAGAGUGAGAUGUGGGGCUGCGGUCGCCACCCGGGAAUGUUGGGGGACAAGGGGCGCUGCUCCGGAUUUAGGCCGCCGGCCCUCCAGCCCUGCCUUGGCUGUUGGGCCGCCUCCUUCACCUUGGUUAAGUUCUCCUUUUGCUCCCCAUUCCCGCUCGGGGUGCCCGCCACCAAGGAGGCCGGUUCGCCGCAGCUUAGGCCAGGGGAGGUCACUGCUCUGGGGCGGAUGGACCCCCAGCUUCCCCCAGCUCGUCUCCGAGGACUUUUCGCCGGAGGCGGGCAGGAAGGGGUUAAGAGCACCCCUUCCCCCCUCCCCCCCCUCCCCCGCGGCCAAUCCAGAGCCCUGGACUGCGGGCGAAGGCCGCCGCUUCCCUCCUGAGGUCUCAUUAGGGAAACCCUCACCGCUAUUUUCAACAUUUCCUCAAUCAAGUGCCUUUAAAUAGAGCUGCACAAACAAAUUGGCGGCAAAAGCGUAGAUCUUGUCACGAUUGAGACCAAUCCAAUAUUUCAGCCUUGUUUGCUUUGCAAUUACGGCUUGGCUUGUGGCUGCGGUGCCACCGGGGCAAAUCUGCAGCCGCCCGCUUUCUCCUCGGCACCCUCGGCGGGCGGAGGAAGCGACCCGCAGCGCCGCCGGAGGGAGGGGGGUGGCGCUGGAGGAGGUGGCUCGAAGGCGAGGGGCGGGCGGCGGAGCCUUCCCGAAGCCCGCGUGCGAAGGGCGCGGGCCCUGGGAAGGAGGCUGGACUUCUCAGGUUCCUGGCCGAGCCCCUGCGAUACAUACAGUAACAAUAAAACGUGCGGUACGCCUGCCGAAACCA
RNA transcript from Neofelis nebulosa (Clouded leopard), 1555 nucleotides. RefSeq lists it as uncharacterized. The transcript is spliced from 4 exons. Lineage: Eukaryota; Metazoa; Chordata; Mammalia; Carnivora; Felidae. The record is from RefSeq and is a predicted model, not a curated record.